GCUCGGAUAGCUCAGCGGUAGAGCGGCAGAUUGCAGAUCUGAUGGUCCCUGGUUCAAUCCCGGGUUCGAGCU
Molecule: transfer RNA, 72 nt
Filed under: Stachybotrys chartarum IBT 7711
Lineage: Eukaryota; Fungi; Ascomycota; Sordariomycetes; Hypocreales; Stachybotryaceae
Also listed under: 3 other names
Description: tRNA-Cys (GCA) (tRNA-Cys-GCA-1-1)
Rfam family: tRNA
About the family: Transfer RNA (tRNA) molecules are approximately 80 nucleotides in length. Their secondary structure includes four short double-helical elements and three loops (D, anti-codon, and T loops).
Source: RNAcentral